GACGAACGCUGGCGGCGUGCCUAAUACAUGCAAGUAGAACGCUGAAGGAGGAGCUUGCUUCUCUGGAUGAGUUGCGAACGGGUGAGUAACGCGUAGGUAACCUGCCUGGUAGCGGGGGAUAACUAUUGGAAACGAUAGCUAAUACCGCAUAAUAGUAGAUGUUGCAUGACAUUUGCUUAAAAGGUGCAAUUGCAUCACUACCAGAUGGACCUGCGUUGUAUUAGCUAGUUGGUGAGGUAACGGCUCACCAAGGCGACGAUACAUAGCCGACCUGAGAGGGGGAUCGGCCACACUGGGACUGAGACACGGCCCAGACUCCUACGGGAGGCAGCAGUAGGGAAUCUUCGGCAAUGGACGGAAGUCUGACCGAGCAACGCCGCGUGAGUGAAGAAGGUUGUCGGAUCGUAAAGCUCUGUUGUAAGAGAAGAACGAGUGUGAGAGUGGAAAGUUCACACUGUGACGGUAUCUUACCAGAAAGGGACGGCUAACUACGUG
Molecule: ribosomal RNA, 495 nt
Filed under: uncultured bacterium
Lineage: Bacteria
Description: partial 16S ribosomal RNA
Rfam family: Bacterial small subunit ribosomal RNA
Source: RNAcentral